UGAACGCUGGCGGCGUGCCUAACACAUGCAAGUCGAACGGAGUAUAUUCGCUGCAGAGAUUUCGGUCGAAGCUUGAGUAUACUUAGUGGCGGACGGGUGAGUAACGCGUGGGCAACCUGCCUCAUACUGGGGGAUAGCAGUUGGAAACGACUGAUAAUACCGCAUAAGCGCACGGAGUCGCAUGACUUUGUGUAGAAAAACCUCCGGUGGUAUGAGAUCGGGCCCGCGUCAGAUUAGCCAGUUGGCAGGGUAACGGCCUACCAAAGCGACGAUCUGUAGCCGGCCUGAGAGGGCGGACGGCCACAUUGGGACUGAGACACGGCCCAAACUCCUACGGGAGGCAGCAGUGGGGGAUAUUGCACAAUGGAGGAAACUCUGAUGCAGCGACGCCGCGUGAAGUGAAGAAGUAUUUCGGUAUGUAAAGCUCUAUCAGCAGGGAAGAAAGGCUCCGCAAGGAGAGAUGACGGUACCUGACUAAGAAGCCCCGGCUAACUACGUGCCAGCCGCCGC
Molecule: ribosomal RNA, 510 nt
Filed under: uncultured bacterium
Lineage: Bacteria
Description: bacterial SSU rRNA
Rfam family: Bacterial small subunit ribosomal RNA
Source: RNAcentral